AGCGUGAGUGAACAUAUGAAACAGGUCGUGAUGUUUCCUCUGGUUUUAUGUUAUAUUGGAGUAUUUCCUUCAAGAUGGUAAGCUCGUUCGUGGCUGAAGAAUCUCCUAGACGGCGUGCCCAUAAUGGCGGGAGUUGUCGCGGACGCCCACCAAGCAAUUAUUUUAUAGGUGGUUGGUUCAAACGUCUGGCCGAAAGGCGGUCGAGAAUGAUACUGCCGGCGCGAAAGCGAAAUUUUGAGUUUGUAUACCGUGCAAGUGCUAAUCACAAGUGACAGCCACAAUGACAAACUAAUGUUACCUUUUUGCGUAAAGAUACCAUGUUAACUAGGCUGAAAACCAACCUGGAAGACCCCAAAUCGUUUAUCGAAAGCAUUCAAAUUAAA
Molecule: long non-coding RNA, 383 nt
Filed under: Pocillopora damicornis (cauliflower coral)
Lineage: Eukaryota; Metazoa; Cnidaria; Anthozoa; Scleractinia; Pocilloporidae
Description: uncharacterized LOC113669857, transcript variant X1
Source: RNAcentral